CUUCAUUGUGCACAGUGUUGUGUGGGUUUGUCUGUCUUUGCAACUGUGUGGCAUCUGUGGGCAGGGCUCGGAAUUGGUCAUUGUCACAGAGACUGUCAAUUUUUCCCACAUCGGUUUUCUCCUUCACAGAGCCUCUGAGUUUUAGCUGGGCAUGUGGCUGCCUGAAUAAGAACAACGUUUUCCUGCUUUCUUGAGGGGCGACUAGGAUCUGGCUGGAGAGAUACCAGUGCCGUGACCGGUGCAGCUCUCUCUUCCUCCCAUUCCUUCCUCCCACUGGCUGGAGUGCAAGAUGGACUGGGAAGACGUCUUUGCCAUGAGGAUGAAGAAGCCAAGUCUCCGGGAGGCUCAGUAGCUCACUGUGGUAAUCUGGCUCACAACAGAGAAAUCUCAGAGUCAGGAUUUACACCCAGGGAAGCUCGUCCAGAUGCCUGCUCUUCCAGCUACUUCAGGGUCUAGCAGACCUUUUAUCACCUGGACAGGAUCCACGCAGGCAGCCUCCAAACCACAUCAAGGGAUUUUAAUUUCCUCACGGCUUUGUUAGCAUUUCACAUUGUUACAGGUCAAAACACAAGGUUAUUUACUAGGAAUGAGAAAUGUCACUAAUAUGAAUUAUGGGAGCCCCAUGAUUUCCCCCAGGUAUUCAGAACAACACGCAGUGCCUAUCAUCCUAGUGAGCUUAGCAUGGGCACUGACCUCCCCGGGAUCUUGAGCACCAUGUGCUUGACUAAGGUCCGAUGAGAGGACAGCCAUCCUAGGCUGGGAAAUGCCAAUGCCUAUUGGAUUUGUUCAAGGAACCUCUUCCUGCAGGCUGCCAUUUUGAUCAAGAAAAUUCUGGAAGGUUCAAAUUCUAUUUCCUAGCCAAUAAGGGAGGGGAAUGAAGAUAUUUGUUCACUCAUUCAAAAAUCACCCAUUUGUCUUCUUACUCCUUUGAUGGUGAGCUCCUGCUGUGCAAAUACUAAUGGGAGAGAAUGUAUAUAGUGGUUUAUGUUUUAUCUUACCAUCUGCUUCCUGUUUCUAUCACCAUAAACUUAGCAAAGAGCUGGGGUAAAGAAGGCCAUGAUAAGGGAGGGAACCACAAGUUCUAAAGAAAAAAAAAAGAUGCUUUCAGUAACUGUCAGAAAAAGAACAAUUUGGGUUUUUUUUUUAUUUUUUUAAAUGUUUAUUUAUUUUU
This is a long non-coding RNA of Leopardus geoffroyi (Geoffroy's cat), 1171 nucleotides long. RefSeq lists it as uncharacterized. The record is from RefSeq and is a predicted model, not a curated record. The transcript is spliced from 3 exons. NCBI's taxonomy places the organism in Eukaryota, Metazoa, Chordata, Mammalia, Carnivora, Felidae.